UACAGAGGUCCCGAGCGUUGUUCGGAUUCAUUGGGCGUAAAGGGUGCGUAGGCGGCGGGGCAAGUCUGAUGUGAAAUCCCGGGGCUCAACCCCGGAACUGCAUUGGAUACUGCUCUGCUUGAGUACUGGAGAGGGAACUGGAAUUUACGGUGUAGCAGUGAAAUGCGUAGAGAUCGUAAGGAAGGCCAGUGGCGAAGGCGAGUUCCUGGACAGUUACUGACGCUGAGGCACGAAGGCCAGGGGAGCAAACGGG
RNAcentral lists this ribosomal RNA (253 nucleotides) under uncultured bacterium. RNAcentral's name for it is "partial 16S ribosomal RNA". It matches the Rfam family "Bacterial small subunit ribosomal RNA", at positions 524 to 776 of the family's 1533-position model. The record is from RNAcentral.